This 361-nucleotide long non-coding RNA is filed under the name Mytilus galloprovincialis (Mediterranean mussel). The record is from RNAcentral. Lineage: Eukaryota; Metazoa; Mollusca; Bivalvia; Mytilida; Mytilidae.
CUAUGACGCAAUACCAUGGACGCUCACGAGCUGGCGAUGGAGGUUCAAUUUUUAAAACUAACUGCAAGAAUGGAAACAGUCAGAGAUAUAUGGUAUAAACAACUCUGGUUGUUCAAACUGAUGGUCAAACCGAUGAACAAAUAAAUGGAAAUGGACAACUUGGAGAUUAACUGGAAGAAACCGGGGAACGAUUGAAAUGAAAGUCAACGCAACGAAAGUGUUUUUGUUUUGAUGAGUGACUUGGAAAGCACAAAGAAAAGGUAAAAAUAAAUUUAUCAUUCACAUUUUUUAAAUGGAUAAGCAGAAAGAUGUAAGCAUUAAAUUAUCUCUGUGUCGGCCAUAUACCGCCACACCAUGCACA